Molecule: ribosomal RNA, 253 nt
Filed under: uncultured bacterium
Lineage: Bacteria
Description: partial 16S ribosomal RNA
Rfam family: Bacterial small subunit ribosomal RNA
Source: RNAcentral
UACGAAGGGGGCGAGCGUUGUUCGGAUUUACUGGGCGUAAAGGGCGCGUAGGCGGCGGGUCAAGUCGAGUGUGAAAGCCCCGGGCUCAACCUGGGAAUUGCGCUCGAGACUGGUCUGCUUGAGUUCGGUAGGGGAGACUGGAAUUCCUGGUGUAGCGGUGAAAUGCGAAGAUAUCAGGAGGAACACCGGUGGCGAAGGCGGGUCUCUGGGCCGAAAUUGACGCUGAGGAGCGAAAGCGUGGGGAGCAAACAGG